UCCCUUGUAGCUUAGUCAGUAAAGAAUCUGCCUGCAAUGCAGAAGAUCCUGGCUGGAUUCCUGGGUGGGGAA
Non-coding RNA from Bos taurus (domestic cattle), 72 nucleotides. The record is from Rfam. NCBI's taxonomy places the organism in Eukaryota, Metazoa, Chordata, Mammalia, Artiodactyla, Bovidae.